CGAUAACUUAUUAAGAUGCCUGUGUCUUUGACUGAAAGUUAAUAAUCAUAUUUGAUUGGUUAGCGAGAUUAAGGGAAUCCAGUCGAGAGAAAUAUCAGUCAUUUAAUAAAUACAGGACGGUUCGUAUUAUAACUCAGUACACAUUACAGCAGUGAAUAUGCACACACGAAAUGUUUAUGAUAUAUUAUUUAAAUGGUCAAAUAUGAGGGGUUCAUGAAUAAUUAUUUGAAGAUAGAUUAACGAGGUGGCAAAGACAUGUUUUGAAACUCUGUAGUGGUGUGUUUUUUGCUUCUUCACCCCGCCCACUCCGGAAAAAUCAGCCGUUGUUAUUUGAUUUUUUUAAGAUUAAUCCCAGCAGGACAUUGCUGAGGACUCGAGUAAGUAUUAUUGGGCCUGGAAUCAGAGGAAUCCAGCGGACAGACAGGUUUGGUAGCAUAUAAAUAAGUACGUUCUAGAGUUAGUUGAUGCACGGCACGAUAGCCAGUUCCUCGAUGUACAGUUGAAGUCGGAGGUUUACAUACGUCUUAGCCAAAUACAUUUAAACUCAGUUUUUCACAAUGCCUGACAUUUAUUCCUAGUAAAAAUUCCCUGUCUUGGGUUAGAUAGAUUUCAGCUUUCUUUCAUCACAUUCCCAGUGGGUCAGAAGUUUACAUACACUCAAUUAGUAUUUGGUAGCAUUGCCUUUAAAUUGUUUAACUUGGGUCAAACGUGUCGGGUAGCCUUCCAUAAGCUUCCCACAAUAAAUUGGGUGAAUUUUGGCCCAUUCCUCCUGACAGAGCUGGUGUAACUGAGUCAGGUUUGUAGGCCUCCUUGCUUGCACACGCUUUUUCAGUUCUGCCCACAUAUUUUCUGUGGGAUUGAGGUCAGGGCUUUGUGAUGGCCACUCCAAUACCUUGACUUUGUUGUCCAUUUUGCCACAACUUUGGAAGUAUGCUUGGGGUCAUUGUCCAUUUGGAAGACCCAUUUGCGACCAAGCUUUAACUUCCUGACUGAUGUCUUGAGAUGUUGCUUGAAUAUAUCUACAACACUUUCCUGCCUCAUGAUGCCAUCUAUUUUGUGAAGUGCACCAGUCCCUCCAGCAGCAAAGCACCCCCACAACAUGAUGCUGCCACCCCCAUGCCUCACGGUUGGGAUGGUGUUCUUCGGCUUGCAAGCCUCCCCCUUUUUCCUCCAAACAUAAUGAUGGACAUUAUCGCCGAACAGUUCUAUUUUUAUUUCAUCAGACCAGAGGACAUUUCUCCAAAAAGUACAAUCUUUGUCCCCAUGUGCAAUUGCAAACCGUAGUCUGGCUUUUUUUAUGGCGGUUUUGGAGCAUUGGCUUCUUCCUUGCUGAGCGGCCUUUUAGGUUAUGUGGAUAUAGGACUCGUUUUACUGUGGAUAUAGAUACCUUUGUACCUGUUUCCUCCAGCAUCUUCAUAACCUCCUUUGCAUCUUCAUAAGGUCCUUUGCUGUUGUUCUGGGAUUGAUUUGUACUUUUCGCACCAGAGUACAUUCAUCUCUAGGAGACAGAAUACAUCUCCUUCCUGGGUGGUAUGAUGGCUGCGUGGUCCCACGGUAUUUAUACUUCCAUACUAUUGUUUGUACAGCUGAACGUGGUACCUUCAGGCAUUUGGAAAUUGUUCCCAAGGAUGAACCAGACUUGUGGAGGUCUACUUUUUUUUCUGAGGUCUUGGCUGAUUUCUUUUGAUUUUCCCAUGAUGUCAAGCAAAGAGGCACUGAGUUUGAAGGUAGGCCUUGAAAUACAUCCACAGGUACACCUCCAAUUGAAUCAAAUUAUGUCAAUUUUGCUAUUUUGCUAUCAGAAGCUUCUAAAGCCAUGAUAUAAUUUUCUGGAAUUUUCCAAGCUGUUUAAAGGCACAGUCAACUUAGUGUAUGUAAACUUCUGACCCACUGGAAUUGUGAUUAAGUGAAAUAAUCUGUCUAUAAACAAUUGUUGGAAAAAUUACAUGCACAAAGUAGAUGUCCUAAUUGACUUGCCAAAACUAUAGUUUGUUAACAAGAAAGUUGUGGAGUGGUUGAAAAAUGAGUUUAAAUGACUCCAACCUAAGUGUAUGUAAACUUCCGACUUGAACUGUAACUAGAGGACUUUAGAUGAAAACAAGUAUUGUGCAUGUUUUAAUGUAGUUAGUAGACUCAACACUGACUACAGACUCUCUGCUUAGAGUUCACUCCUGCAAUGCACUAUCGAUGUGUUGUUGUUUCACAGGUAGCUAGGAACAGUUGUUAUAUGGGUGAUGGCUGUUGAACUGGCUUAAUACCCCCCCCCGCACCAUGUUGACCCCACAGUUGGGUCAAGUUGUCUGGAUGUCAUUUGGGUGGUGGACCAUUCUUGAUACACACAGGAAACUGUUGAGCGUGGAAAAACCCAGUUGCGUUGCCAUUCUUGACACAAACUGGUGCGCCUGGCACCUACUACCAUACCCCGUUCAAAGGGCUCGUAAUGGCUGAAAUGGAGCAUCCUACACAGCAAGGAGUCUGCAGGAUGAUAGGCUAUUGCACAUUGGUCCUGUGUCUCAUGCCACAGAUGACAUGGGCUCAAGUGAGCUACAUGCAAGGGGAUCCCGAAACCCUACACGUCAACAAAGUGCUCCAUAAGUCCCUUAGUGUGGGAGAAGUGCAUGAUGGAGAUCAGAUGACAGAGUCCCUGUAUGAAAUCAAAUUCUGGGAGAAUACAGAAAAAAAAGUCACUGCCAGCUAAGUCUAACAGAGAAAGAGGUAUUUGCGUUCGGACAAAAUACACACAACUUCACAGUACAUUGCAUAAGGAUCAGUCGGUCGUUCUUCAGUUCUAUCUCCCUUUACAUCCCAGUACAGGCCCAUGGCUUAGCCCAGAUACAUGUCGACGUGCUCUCACUGUGUGUGUCUGUCUGUGUCUUUAAUGUGUAUGGAGGUGUCCAGGUGGACACACCUGGACUUCUACAUCAUGUACAACGGCGACUCUGUGAUCUUUGCCAACAUCUCAGUGAAGGACUCCAAGCCAGUUUCAAUUACAAUAAAACUUUU
RNAcentral lists this long non-coding RNA (3003 nucleotides) under Salmo salar (Atlantic salmon). RNAcentral describes it as "lncRNA (ENSSSAG00000103877.1)". Lineage: Eukaryota; Metazoa; Chordata; Actinopteri; Salmoniformes; Salmonidae. The record is from RNAcentral.